GUGCAUAGCCGGGUAGCCAAGUCGGGCCGGGAUAAACGCUGAAGGCAUCUAAGCGUGAAGCCCCCCUCAAGAUGAGAUAUCCCUCCUUCGGGAGUAAGACCCCUUGAAGACUACAAGGUAGAUAGGGCAGAGGUGGAAGUGUGGUAACACAUGGAGCUGACUGCUACUAAUAGGGUGAGGGCUUGACCAAG
RNAcentral lists this ribosomal RNA (191 nucleotides) under Lactococcus lactis. RNAcentral's name for it is "partial 23S ribosomal RNA". It matches the Rfam family "Bacterial large subunit ribosomal RNA", at positions 2733 to 2925 of the family's 2925-position model. The record is from RNAcentral. Lineage: Bacteria; Bacillati; Bacillota; Bacilli; Lactobacillales; Streptococcaceae.